Molecule: ribosomal RNA, 407 nt
Filed under: uncultured bacterium
Lineage: Bacteria
Description: partial 16S ribosomal RNA
Rfam family: Bacterial small subunit ribosomal RNA
Source: RNAcentral
GACGAACGCUGGCGGCGUGCCUAAUACAUGCAAGUAGGACGCAGUUGCGAACGGGUGAGUAACGCGUAGGUAACUGCCUCUUAGAGGGGGAUAACUAUUGGAAACGAUAGCUAAUACCGCAUACUCGUAGAUGGACCUGCGUUGUAUUAGCUAGUAGGUAGGGUAAUGGCCUACCUAGGCAACGAUCCAUAGCCGACCGUAGGGGGGGAUCGGCCACACUGGGACUGAAACACGGCCCAGACUCCUACGGGAGGCAGCAGGAGGGAAUCUUCGGCAAUGGGGGGAAACCUGACCGAGCAACGCCGCGUGAGUGAAGAAGGUUUUCGGAUCGUAAAGCUCUGUUGUUAAGGAAGCGGUACUUAACCAGAAAGGGACGGCUAACUACGUGCCAGCAGCCGCGGUAAUAC